RNAcentral lists this unclassified non-coding RNA (255 nucleotides) under Moritella viscosa. Its description in RNAcentral is "putative sRNA". Lineage: Bacteria; Pseudomonadati; Pseudomonadota; Gammaproteobacteria; Alteromonadales; Moritellaceae. The record is from RNAcentral.
AUUGUUCUGAUAAGUUUUACACUAAUGAGUGUAUUUGGCCGAACGUAUGUGAGUUGUGAAAAUGGUAAAGUUCUUGUCUUCAUUGGUAUAGGUUCUGUUGGUUGUUGCCAUAUUCAAGUCGACGGAAAAAGCGCCACUUGAUUCCCCCCAAUUUAGUGAAAAAUAACCCUUCAUUUUAGCCUGUUCUAGCUAAGUUAAUAUAUAUAAAUAAGCGCUUUAGUGACGUUCUUGUGUGUGCAUGCUUCUGGUUAUAUG